Panicum virgatum (switchgrass) is the source of this 2355-nucleotide long non-coding RNA. RefSeq lists it as uncharacterized. Lineage: Eukaryota; Viridiplantae; Streptophyta; Magnoliopsida; Poales; Poaceae. The transcript is spliced from 4 exons. The record is from RefSeq and is a predicted model, not a curated record.
UAAAGCUAGGAAUUGGUUCAGCACAGCUGUUACUCUUGCUCCUGAUAUUGGGGAUUUUGGGGCAUUGUUCUACAAAUGUGAACUUCAGCAUGGAAAUGCAGACACUCAAAAGGAUGUUCUGAAAAGAUGCGUUUCAACAGAAACAAAACAUGGUGAAAAAUGGCAAGCAAUAACCAAGGCUGUUGAAAACUCAUAUAAGCUUGUUGAGGCUCUUUUGAAGAAAGCUGUUGUGGUGCUUGAUGCAGAAGAACGCGCGAAUGCCACAGGUGCCUAGGCUCCUAGAUCAUUUAUUUUUAUAAGGUAUUUGGCGAAUUUGUUUUGUACUACUGUUAUAUUAUCUUUUAGUAUUUCAGUUGAGUUAAUAUUUUUUUUGCGGGUAUCAGUUGAAUUAAUAUGAUUAUCACUACCUGAGAGUUGCAAGUUGAAUUAUUAUUUUUAUUUGCAUAAUCAAGUACCUAUAUCAUGCUCCGAAUCUAGUUCCUUUGUAUGCCAACUCUGAGGUGUUAUCAGAACUCUCUUUAACUACAGUAGGCAGAACCUAGUGUUGCUUCUUUGCUUGCAACCAGCCUGCUGCAAAGUUUCUGCUGUAGUGAUGCCGUUUUAGUCUACCAUUUUUAUGGAUUACUGUUGCAUUCCUGUUUGUCAUGACACUAAGGUUGUACCUGUAGCAACUAUAGACAACCUAUGCAAAUCAGGAAGGGUUAUGGAAGUCCAGAAUCUCUUGAUAGUUCAUGCAGGUGCAAGUGCAAAGCCUUACAUUUUUUUUGUUGUAUGACCCUAAAAUAAAUGGGUAUUGCUUAUCUGGUAAACUGGACGAAGCAAUGAAACACCUCAAUGUUUAUUCUCUUUCAUGGCUUGAAAACUGGUGUUAAUAGUGUACUUGAUUGCAUGGACUCUAUUGGCUUGCAAGUAUCAACCAAUGUUGUUACCUAUAAUACUUUGAGCAAUGGUUAUUGCAAACAUGGUAGGAUAGAGGAUGCAUUAACUCUGUUCAGAGAAAUGUUGAGCAAGGGAAACUGAUGCUAUAUUGCUAUCACAGAAGGCGUAAGGACUUUACCUGAAGAUGGUAGAAACUAAAAAGUAUAUAAUGCAUAGUCUUAACUGAAAUGUGCUAUCAUCAUGUACCUGAAGAUGAUUGAAAGUGCUAUUGAUCUGAAGAGCCUAUAUUGUGCUUUUUUAUCUGGCCUGUCAUAUGUAUGCAGUGUUUCAAAGGCUACAAGGCGAUGUAUGCAGUGUUUCAAAGGAUACAAGGUGACCCAAAGCGAGCUGGGUCCGCCCGGAUGCCUAGGCGUCCUAGGUGACGCCUUUGAAACACUGUAUGAGUUGCUCCAUGCAUGCCAGAAAGCAGGUCCAGAAAGAACCAUACAUCACAGCCGCCGCCGCUGUCUCCGCCACUAUAUCUCCAAGCUUCCUCCGAUUCUCCAAGCUCUCUACGAUUCUCCUUAUCCCCAUGACUAUGUAUGGAUGGAAAGCAAUGUACCUACAGAGGUAUCGGCAAGCAUCAGAAGCCACAUCGCUUAUUAAAUUAUUAUUUUAAUAUUGCAAUUUCCUGAUACUUGACGAUACAUGUUUCAGGCUGUAUCACACCGUAUCAGAUUUGGGUACAGCAGCCUACAUGAAGCAUUUGUGAUACAUGACUGGGUGGUACAAAUGGGAUUUAAAAAAAAAAGCUAUUUUCAGUGAUACUAGUGUUGACCGUAAGAAUUUAUGGUUCCAUGGCACCUAUGAUACUGCAUAGUUAAAUUAUUAGUGGAACAUCAGUGAAUAGUGUACCCAGAGCUCAGUUAUUACUUCUCAAUUUAGCUUGAUAAGAUGUGUCUUUGUUCCUGAGUGGAAUGGGGUAUCUUCUUAUUAGUUGAGUUGCAGCAAAACCUAGACAGAGUGCUGAAGCUACUAUCAAGCCUGUUGAGAACUCACAUCACAUCAGCCAGUUGAGGCCACUCAAAAUAGAGCUGUAGUGGCUUUUGAUAGAGAAGAAAAAUCGCAGAUGCCUCAGCACCUUGAUCAGACUGUCUUGAUAAGGUCUACAUCUUGCGCACGCUGACAUUGGAAUAACUGAAGAAAGCAGCAAAGAGUUUUGCAGCGAAACUUUCUGUCGGGCGUCAGCACCAAACUGUUCUUUUUUGCAUGUUGCCCAAGGCGAGUUGUUGAUGUUGCAGCACUGCCCGUGCCAAAGAUCUGAUUCGGAGCCAUUGCCAGAGACAUGAGCUUAGGUUAGAAGCAUGGGAUUCAAUAAUGGUGUGUGUAUGUAAUGUAGAUCUUCUGUUUACCACGAUCCGCAUUCUGUGCAAUCCCAGAUAUUACCAAAAAUUGUUGAAACUUUGUAAUCGUGUAUGCGCAGUUGCAUUUUGUGCA